This is a non-coding RNA of Schistosoma mattheei, 46 nucleotides long. The record is from Rfam. Lineage: Eukaryota; Metazoa; Platyhelminthes; Trematoda; Strigeidida; Schistosomatidae.
GCACUGCUGAGGAGUCCCGUAUUGAGACGAAACGGCCGUCCAGUGC